ACGAACGCUGGCGGCGUGCUUAACACAUGCAAGUCGAACGGUGAAGCGCCUUCCUUUUUGGUGGGUGUGGAUGAGUGGCGAACGGGUGAGUAACACGUGAGUAACCUGCCCCCUUCUUCUGGAUAACCGCAUGAAAGUGUGGCUAAUACGGGAUAUUCUGGGUCUGUCGCAUGAUGGGUCUGGGAAAGAUAUUGUUUCGGUGGGGGAUGGGCUCGCGGCCUAUCAGCUUGUUGGUGGGGUGAUGGCCUACCAAGGCGGUGACGGGUAGCCGGCCUGAGAGGGUGGACGGUCACACUGGGACUGAGACACGGACCAGACUCCGACGGGAGGCAGCAGUGGGGAAUAUUGCACAAUGGGCGCAAGCCUGAUGCAGCGACACCGCGUGAGGGAUGGAGGCCUUCGGGUUGUGAACCUCUUUCGCCAGUGAAGCAGGCCUGCCUCGUUUGUGGGUGGGUUGACGGUAGCUGGAUAAGAAGCGCCGGCUAACUACGUG
Molecule: ribosomal RNA, 493 nt
Filed under: uncultured bacterium
Lineage: Bacteria
Description: partial 16S ribosomal RNA
Rfam family: Bacterial small subunit ribosomal RNA
Source: RNAcentral